AUGGCGCAUACCAUUGGUGUUGUACCUAAAACAUUAUCACUGGAGUUCCAGUCCUCAUGGCAAUGCUGGAUCCUUAACCUGCUGAGCGAGGCCAGGGAUCGAACCUGCAACCUCCUGGUUCCUAGUCAGAUUUGUUUCUGCUGCACCAUGACAGGAACUCCAGGGCUCCACCUUUAUUUUUCUCCUUCAACAUUAUGAUUCUUCCUUCCUCCCUCCCUUCCCUCCUUCCUUCCUUCCUACCUUGUCUUCUCUCCCUCUCCUUUUUUCUCUUCUAGAAUCUCCUAUCUUUCUCACCUCCUCUACUUCUGUGUUGCUUCUUUCUCUAAACUUUCCUUUUUCUUUUCCAUUUUUUAAACCUCUCUUUUCCUUAUUUUCUCUUUUCCUCUCUUUGUCCCUGUCCUUUGGGGAGCCAUCCUAGGGCACAAGAAAAACUCUGUGCUUUGAAGCCAGAGGAACCAUGAAAAUGUAAAUUCUGCCGCUGAGAAUUUAAUUUCUGUGACCUUGAGUAAUUACAGUUGACCCUGGAACAGCGCAGGUUUGAACUGCCCUGGCCCACUUAGAGGCGGAUUUUUUGCAAUAGUAAAACUUUAGUACUUCAUGACCAGCAGUUGGUUGAAUCUGAGAUUAUGGGGGAACUGUGGACAGGAAGGGCGAGCUCUAAGUUAUAUGCAGAUUUUUGACGGCACCGAGGAUUUUUGACGGCACCGAGGAUCAGUGCCCCUCACUCUCUUGUUGCUUAAGGGUCAACUGUACUGUUAACCGGCUUAAUCCCAGGCUUCUCAUCUGUAAAGCCUGGUGCCGAGAGUGUGGCCCUCCCCUUCCUUCUCCCCACUCUCCACGGUGUCUGCUGAAAUCAUACCUAGAACUUGCAAAACAAGACCUCCCCAACCUCUGCGCUAGGACUGACAGAGGACAUCUGCCUCAUAUUUACUUACGGUUUAUGUAGAAAGUUGUCAUUUUCUUUUUCUCAACAGUAUUAGACAAGAACAUCUUUUAGCCCAACCACUGUUCUAAUUAGUAUUGUUUGGCUCCGAAUGCACCAAAAAAGAAUAUUUGGGAAUAUACAGCUCAUAUAGACACUCAGGGUCUACUCGUUUUGUGAACAUUAAGGGCAACUCUGUUUUUAUCAACGUAAACCUGAACAGCCAGUGGUUCCCUGUGAAUACUUGCAGUUUAUUUAUUUGUUUGUUUGUUUAUUUUAGGGCCGCACCCACGGCAUAUGGAGGUUCCCAGGCUAGGGGUUGAAUCGGAGCUGCAGCUGCAAGCCUACACCACAGCCACAGCCAUGCCAGAUCCGAGCCGCAUCUGUGACCCACACCACUGCUCAAGGCAACACAGGGUCCUUAACCCGGUGAGUGGGGCCAGGGAUCAAACCCGGGUCCUCAUGGAAGUGAGCCACAAUAGGAACUCUGAAAAUAAGUUUUUAAUCCUAGAAAACAAGUUGGAUAUGUGGGAGACAGUAUUAUUUUUGAUUCCCAGUCCGCAUUCCUCAGGCCUGUCCUUGGUGUCUCUUCCCAAAGGAGGGAGGUCUUCCCACCCUGUUGAGGUCAGGCUUGGCCACAUGACUUGCUUUGGCCAGUGGAAUGUGGCUGGAAAUGACACUUGCCACCUUCGAGCUGGAGCAUGAGGUACCAUUCAGGGCCCUGUCCUUGCUCCUUUUCCCGUUGCUUCAGACCCACAGGCCUCAGAUGAGGGCGCUCCCUAACCCCAUCCCCACGUGGAGCAGAACCACAGCUGACCUGUGAAAUAGGGGAAUCAUGAGUGAGGAGCCUUUGUUGCGAUCAGGGGUUGUUACUGCCGUGUAACUCAGAAACUAACAGAACACAGGUGUGAAAGAGACGUUCCAAAACGAGCUCUUAGUGUGGGCGGCUUCAUUUCAGUAAAAUCCAUCCUUUUGGGAGCUCCACCUAGCUCAUGAUGAUGCCUCGAUUGCCCGCUCCUGUCACCCUCCCCUGUCAGCAUCAAUCUGAGCCUGCUGACUGCCUUUAUCCAACUGUGAUUCUAAAGCUUAAAGCCCAUUUACCUACUGACAGUCUUGUAGGAAAUGUGCAAAAAGGUAGAUUUUCUGAAUUAUCAGUAAUUCCAAAGUGCAGCUCAAUUGUAAUACAACAAUCUAUAGAUCUAUGUUCUUUUAUCCUUUUUCUUUCUUUCUUUCCUUUUUUUUUUUUUUUUGCUUUUUAGGGCCGUACCUGUGACAUAUGGAGGUUUCCAGGCUAGAGGUCCAAUGGGAGCUACAGCUGCUGGCCUACACCACAGCCACAGCAAUGCGGGAUCCCUGACCCACAUCCUCACGGAUCCCAGUUGAGUUUGUUAAGCACUGAGCCAUGACAGGAACUCCCUGUGUACUUUUUUCUAAUAGCAAAGGGGACUGGGCUUCACUCCCUGGUCCUCUCCUGAACCAGGCUUGGCGUCCCCUGCAGCUCCAUGGCUUCCCAAGUACCUUCAGUAUUUUGGACCCUUCCUACCCACUUACCCCUUGGGAGCAGAAUUUCGGGUGGGGUAGAAUAUAAGUAAGUUCCCCAAGGGUCUUUUAGUCGGCAGGUUUUUACUGUUAUCCCUGUGACUAAAAUCGCCUUUCCCCAGUCAUAUGACACAUCACCAGAGAAUAGUGGUAGAAGGGCGCUUACUCUUUUGCCCCUCCUGGUUUCUGGAACUAGUCCACGGUUGAUGUCACAGUAGAUGCAGCCACCUUGGUACAGCAUGAUCCUGCCCUGGGCCAAGGUGGAGGGAGGGCCAACCUGGGCUGGGCAAGUAAUUCUCUCUGCAGAAUGUGAAUUUGGGGCGGCUACGUAACAUCUCUUGUGUCAUCUUUAUUAGCUCAGCAUCUAUUCCCCGUUUUGUUGGUAGCAGUCCCCCUUUGCCAAAGGUUGAGAGCCCAGCUUCUAGGGCCUGAGAGUCUGGAUCAGAUCUCAGCCCUGCAACUUGGCCGCAACCUGCUGUGAAACCUUGACUGAGAUGCAUUCACCUGUGCCUCCAUUUCCCCAUCUGUAAAAAGGGGAUAAUGGGCAGAUUUAAUUAGUAAACAAAUAACGCUGAAGUUAAAAUGAGUUGACUUAUCUGAAGCACUUAAAACCAUGCCCAGCAAACAGUAAACUGCAUGCAGCAUGUGCUCUUGCUGUUCUGUGUUUGGGGUGGGCUGUGGGUCUGACCACACCCUUGGCUCCAUCCAGUCACGGGUGGUUCAAAAGUGGGCAUGUGACCAAAGCUGGGCUUUCGCGCAGCCCAUCCUGGCACUUGUUGGGACUCUCGGAGAACCAGGGGGUUGGGGAAAGAGAGAAGCCAGAGUCCCUGUUAGUCCUCUGGUCCCAAGAGGGCUGAGCCAGCAGAAUGGGGCAGGUGCAGGUGCCAGUGGAGGGAGAGGCUGCCUCUUGUGCCCUGUGACCACCUGGAUCCAGCUGGCCAGGAAUAGUUACUUGAGCGGUUAAAUUCCCUAAUUAGCUUAAGCCAGUUUGAGUUGCUUUUUUUUUUUUUUUUUCCCUGUCCCUGGCAGAAGAAAAACAAUCUUGCUACUUUCAGGCUGGGCUGGUUCCUUGAAGUGAGGAGAUGUAAUGUUGUGCUGGUGCUGUGUGUGGAGAGGCCAGGCUUCCCCGUGGUUCUCCAGUGCUGAGCCUUUGCUGGCUGUUCCUGGGCUCCCGGGGCCUUUAGGACACCAGUGUAACCCGGUAAUGAGUUGCCCAUUUUUUGCUUUAGCUGGUGUGUUUUCUGUUGUGUGCUUUUAGGAAACAAUGUAAACAGAAUAUAAACAUUCCACGGAGUCCUCGUAUAUGAUGACUUGCUAUUGCAUUUACAGAGAAGAUCCAAAGAGAUGGACUUGUGUUUGACAGACAGAAAGCCUCUCUCCACACUAACAGUCAGCAGAUUACUUGGCUCCACAUACACAGCUCGAUAAAUGACAAAAGCAUGAUCUCUGGCUGCAACCAGAGAUCACAGAUGAAAACAUGGCCUUCCCCCCCGCCCCGUAACUCCCCCCAACCUGGCCCCGGGAGUUAUAGCCCCUGCCCAGUCCUAGGGACACUUGCUCCCCAACUUAUUUCACCAAUGGCUUCUCCUUUUUGCCCUCAUACAAGAGUCCCCUGUUAUCUAAAAAUUCAGGAUUUUAAGAGUGAUGCAGGCUUGCCUCUGCUCGUCCUCUGCCUACAGCCUGCCUGCUGCUCUCUGUACCCUAGGGACAUGCUUGGUCCUCUCAGAGCGACUCUGGCCAACGCCAGAGCCAGGACGUCAGGGCAUCAGUCUCUGCCACUGGGUGCCCCCAGGCUGCUGCUGCAGCUUCUGAGGAAGCUGGCCUUCCUUUCUUCCUAUACUCCUACUUAGCCGCUUUACUGUGAUUUCAGGUUCCAUGUACUCAAAAGCACCACUUCUGCACAAGCCCCAUACUUUGCUCAGCAGCAUGCCAGGACUGUGGAAGAGUGUGUGUGGCGGGGGUGGGGGUGGAAUUGCAGGGUGUAGACUCAAGUCCCAAUUCCACAGGUCCCUAAUCCCUGAUCUUGGGCAGGUCAAUACCACCCCUUGAGCUUUGGUUUUCUCGUCUGUAAAUGGGGUUGAUGACAACACCCAUCGCACAGGGUUGCUGUGGGCACCAAAGGAGCUGAUGUAUGGAAAAGCUCAUUGAACCCUGCAGUGCAUAUUACUGAGUUAUCUUGAGAGUGAAGAAUUAAGAAAGCAGGCUUGGGAGCUCCUGUCGUGGCACAGUGGUUAACGAAUCUGACUAGGGACAUGAGGUUGUGGGUUCGAUCCCUGGCCUUGCUCAGUGGGUUAAGGAUCUGGCGUUGCUGUGAGCUGUGGUGUAGAUUGCAGACGUGGCUUGGAUCUCGUAUUGCUGUGGUUCGGAUCCUGCAUUGCUGUGGCUCUGGCGUAGGCUGGCAGCUACAGCUCCGAUUGGACCCCUAGCCUGGGAACCUCCAUAUGCCGCAGGAGCGGCUCAAGAAAAAGGCAAAAAGACCAAAAAAAAAAAAAAAAA
RNAcentral lists this long non-coding RNA (4957 nucleotides) under Sus scrofa (pig). RNAcentral describes it as "lncRNA (ENSSSCG00050035533.1)". Lineage: Eukaryota; Metazoa; Chordata; Mammalia; Artiodactyla; Suidae. The record is from RNAcentral.